UCGAGAAUCUUUCACAAUGGGGGAAACCCUGAUGGAGCGACGCCGCGUGGAGGAUAAGGUCUUCGGAUUGUAAACUCCUGUCAUGCAAGAACAAGGCCUCACGGCUUGAUAGUAUUGCAAGAGGAAGAGACGGCUAACUCUGUGCCAGCAGCCGCGGUAAUACAGAGGUCUCAAGCGUUGUUCGGAAUCACUGGGCGUAAAGGGUGCGUAGGCGGCGCAAAAAGUCAGAUGUGAAAUCCGGAGGCUCAACCUCCGAAUUGCAUCCGAAACUCUUGUGCUGGAGAAUUGUAGAGGAGCUUGGAACUCUCGGUGUAGCAGUGAAAUGCGUAGAUAUCGAGAAGAACGCUCGCAGCGAAAGCGAGGCUCUGGGCAAUUUCUGACGCUGAGGCACGAAGGCUAGGGGAGCAAACGG
RNAcentral lists this ribosomal RNA (412 nucleotides) under uncultured bacterium. Its description in RNAcentral is "bacterial SSU rRNA". It matches the Rfam family "Bacterial small subunit ribosomal RNA", at positions 355 to 775 of the family's 1533-position model. The record is from RNAcentral.